RNAcentral lists this long non-coding RNA (1156 nucleotides) under Camarhynchus parvulus. Its description in RNAcentral is "lncRNA (ENSCPVG00000018587.1)". The record is from RNAcentral. Lineage: Eukaryota; Metazoa; Chordata; Aves; Passeriformes; Thraupidae.
CCGGGCGCGCGCUCGCGCGUGUGCGAGUGUGAGUGCGCGGCGCGUGUGGCCGCGUGUGCGCGCCCCUGAGCGCGCGCUGUGCCUCGGCGCCGCCUGCGUGCGGGGGGUGCCCGUGCGCGCUCCGCACCGAGCUCCCCGGCGCUGCCGUCCUCGCCUCCGCCGCCCCGGCGGCUCCGCGCAGCGCCCGCGCAGCGGGUCGGCAUCUUCAUGGGCUGCCACCAUGCUUGGGCCCUGGAGAUUUCGGGCGAAGCUAGUUUUGCAGAACAUUGGGAAUAAGCGCUAUGUCAGAUAUGGAUGAGACUCCGAAGAUGACCUGCAUGUUUUACAUUUUUCACAAAUUUUGGGUGAGUGGUUAAAACAUUUAUUUUGAGAGUGUGUAUGUGUCUGUGUGUGAGAGAAAACAGGAGACUUCUGCUUGAAAUGAGCUCUGUUACAUUGUGUAUAACUUGGGAGGGGAUCACAUAUCAAUUAAUAUUACUUGCUUUUGUAAAGAUGCACAAUUUCCGUAAUUGAAGAGAGCUGUUAAGUGCACUGAAGUAGGAGGUUAAUGUAUUUAAUCUCAUUACAGAAGAAUUCCUGCACAAAAGUCAUCUGGGGGUGCGAGCGUGUGUGCAUGUGUGUGUGUGUGCGCUCGCGUGUGUGCAUGUCUGUGUGGGUGGGUGUGUGCUUUGUAAAUGUAUAGCUAGGGAAAAAGCCACCAGCAUAAAAGAGUUUUAAAAAAUGUGUGAUGUGGAGAAUGUGUCAGUGUUCCCUCUGUGGAAUUAAGAUGCCAUUUUCAGCACUGAGCAUUUUUUCUUUGGAUUCCUACCAUGGUGUUUCCAUCACCAGUUUAAAAUCAAGGUAGAAGGAGGGGAAGACCUUGGUGCACUGGUUCAGCAGGGAUGUUCUGAGGGGAAGAGGGAGCUGGGUAAUAGAGGAGGUGGGAAACCUCGUAAAAUGGUGUUUCUUUUCUCUUAAAUUAGAAACGUGAAACUGAACUGACAGCCAUUUUAUGUAUAUUUAUGGGGCUGGUUGUGAAAAGGAAAUCCAAAGAAGCAUUGAAAUUCACCCCACACUAACAGAACCAGAGCAAUUCCUACUGUGACCUCACCUUUUUAGACACCGCAGGCAUUUGACUCACAAGGAGUUGCCUAUCAACCCUUUAAUCAAGGCAUGU